GAGCUGAAGUUCGCCAGUUGCAUAAAUAAAAAUUUCAGCUCUAGAGCUGAAGUUCACCAGUUACUAAAACAAAAAUGUCAGCUCUAGAGCUAAAGUUCGCCAGUUACAAAACAAAAACUUCAGUUCUAGAGCUACGAAUGCUGAAGUUUUGCAUGAUUGCCUUAGUUACUUCAGCCCCGUAUGCUGAAGUUAUGUGAAAAAGCAGGUACGCUUGCAAUUUUUUUUGCAAAGCGGUCACAAGUUAAAACGUGAUACAAAAAGCAUCUAUAGAUGCAAAUGCCCCUACUAAUUGAAGGACGUUUUCUAGCCGUGUGUAUAGAUUAUACAUUAACUAUAUAUAUA
RNAcentral lists this long non-coding RNA (342 nucleotides) under Nicotiana benthamiana. Its description in RNAcentral is "long non-coding RNA (NBEN_LNC013273)". Lineage: Eukaryota; Viridiplantae; Streptophyta; Magnoliopsida; Solanales; Solanaceae. The record is from RNAcentral.